AGAGUUUGAUCCUGGCUCAGGACGAACGCUGGCGGCGUGCUUAACACAUGCAAGUCGAGCGGAAAGGCCCUUCGGGGUACUCGAGCGGCGAACGGGUGAGUAACACGUGAGGAACCUGCCCCUAACUCUGGGAUAGCUUCGGGAAACCGGAAUUAAUACCGGAUACGACUGCGACCGGCAUCGGUCGCAGUGGAAAGAUUUAUCGGUUAGGGAUGGUCUCGCGGCCUAUCAGCUUGUUGGUGGGGUAACGGCCUACCAAGGCGACGACGGGUAGCCGGCCUGAGAGGGCGACCGGCCACACUGGGACUGAGACACGGCCCAGACUCCUACGGGAGGCAGCAGUGGGGAAUAUUGCGCAAUGGGCGAAAGCCUGACGCAGCAACGCCGCGUGGGGGAUGAAAGCCUUCGGGUCGUAAACCCCUUUCAGCAGGGACGAAGCGAGAGUGACGGUACCUGCAGAAGAAGCGCCGGCUAACUACGUGCCAGCAGCCGCGGUAAUACGUAGGGCGCGAGCGUUGUCCGGAAUUAUUGGGCGUAAAGAGCUCGUAGGUGGUUUGUUACGUCUGCUGUGAAAACCUAGGGCUUAACCCUGGGCCUGCAGUGGAUACGGGCAGACUAGAGGUAGGUAGGGGAGAAUGGAAUUCCCGGUGUAGCGGUGAAAUGCGCAGAUAUCGGGAGGAACACCGGUGGCGAAGGCGGUUCUCUGGGCCUUACCUGACACUGAGGAGCGAAAGCGUGGGGAGCGAACAGGAUUAGAUACCCUGGUAGUCCACGCCGUAAACGUUGGGCGCUAGGUGUGGGGUCCUUCCACGGACUC
RNAcentral lists this ribosomal RNA (817 nucleotides) under uncultured bacterium. Its description in RNAcentral is "bacterial SSU rRNA". It matches the Rfam family "Bacterial small subunit ribosomal RNA", at positions 8 to 841 of the family's 1533-position model. The record is from RNAcentral.